RNAcentral lists this long non-coding RNA (364 nucleotides) under Olea europaea subsp. europaea. Lineage: Eukaryota; Viridiplantae; Streptophyta; Magnoliopsida; Lamiales; Oleaceae. The record is from RNAcentral.
AUUUAGCUCCUGGACAAACGUUGGUAAAAUCAUUUUGAGAUAGUACCAUCCAGUCUGGAGUCAAAUGCAAUGCAACAAUCAAAUUGAAAUCUCAAUCUAUCAAUUGAUCUUUGAAAUUAUCGAGCAGCAAAAAAUUCAUUUGUAGAGCUUUACACUCAGAGAAUUAUAGAGUUUGAUUUGAAGGAUGCAUUUGAGCGAGAACGAAGGGAUAGAGAACAACACCUUUGUGGUGACUGGCGGGCUGGGUUUCGUGGGUUCGGCCCUCUGCUUAGAGCUCGUUAGAAGAGGCGCUCGUAAGGUUCGAGCCUUUGAUCUUCGCACCGAAUCUCCUUGGUCCAAUGAUCUUCGCCGUCACGGCGUUGAC